RNAcentral lists this long non-coding RNA (1340 nucleotides) under Felis catus (domestic cat). RNAcentral's name for it is "lncRNA (ENSFCAG00000052640.1)". Lineage: Eukaryota; Metazoa; Chordata; Mammalia; Carnivora; Felidae. The record is from RNAcentral.
CAUGUGACCUGCAGGAAGCAAAGGGAUGGAAAUGAAAGAGACUGCCAAUAUUUGUCUCCUGGCAGUUAAACCCUCCCUUGAAAGAACUGAACAUUUUGGCUGCAGUUCCAGUCUUCUUCUCAGACUAACGUGGUCUACUCCUAUGGAAGUCCUUGAACCCCUGGGAGAUUCUUUUCUCGAUGAAGAAGAAAAAGCAUAUCCUCUAUCUUAUCCAGGGUUAUUGAGCAAGAACCGCCUAUGUUUCAAGAGUGGAAUCUUGGCUAAAAUAUGCUGGAAAAAGUGCCACCUGCUCUUCCAUUGUCUGCAUACCGAAAAGGGACUUCAGUUAAAAUUUAUCUGAAAUGGAACAGCUGAGGAGGUGCGUUGCCACAGAGCAGGACAAAAUUGAGGAGAACAAAAACCCUCAGCUGCUUCUCGGAAUUCUGCCUGAGGUAGCGUCCGAAACCUAAGUGACUAAGCCUGACUACAAAGAGUAUGGUCACAGCCAGACAACAUGUGCAAUUUGGAGAAAUCUGUUACUGGCUAUGAAUAUUUCUUUUUCUUCUAGUUUCACUGACAAAGUAUUCUGUGUAUGCUUCUGCGACUUAAAAUCUGGAAGCAAACCCACUGGGAAAAAAAAAAAAAGUCUAGUUGAAGAACUAAGCUGAGCAUAAAGAAAGGAAAUGCUUUGGUGCGGAUACACCUAAACCAUUGUACAACCAUGGCAGCAAGUACACUCUGAAGAUGCUGAAGCCUGCACUGUGUCAGCCGAGGUGACUAAGAGUGUGGCCUUCCUCCUUGCUUGUUCCACUCUGAUCAUGUGUAGGGCUCAUUUUCUGCAUAGGGUAGCACAUUUAAUAUUCUCAGUCAUGGUGAUAAAUUGACUAUACGAAAUUGGAAAAAGAAAUCUAUUAUCAAUAGAGCAAUUUAUUCCUGAGACUGUUGAUGGUAUAGGGUUAAACAGUUUGCUCGGUCCAGGUGCUAAAUGUCACAGGAAGAUACGAAACACAUGAUUGGGCUCUUCCUAAACUUGUUUCCCUUUGGCCUCAGAGAAAAUGCAAUGUAUAUAUUAAAAAUUAAAAACUGCAUAUAUGCAACGCACAUAUUAAAAAUUAAAAUAUCCACAAUCUGUAUCCACACUCUCUUGAUCUUCAAAAUUAUUUGGAUUUUAGCUUAAACCUAGCUCUACUAUAUAGGAGCUGUAGCAGAAUGCAGACACUUUGACUUGCAAAGCUUCAAUUUCCUCAUUUGUAAAAUGUGCUUAACAUUAUUUGCCAUGACUCAUUCACAGAACUUUUGCAGAGGGAUAUGAGAAGAUGCAUGAAAAAAAUAAUCUGUGGACCAUAAAACCCAAUAUAAAG